Molecule: ribosomal RNA, 429 nt
Filed under: Candidatus Mycoplasma haematominutum
Lineage: Bacteria; Bacillati; Mycoplasmatota; Mollicutes; Mycoplasmatales; Mycoplasmataceae
Description: bacterial SSU rRNA
Rfam family: Bacterial small subunit ribosomal RNA
Source: RNAcentral
AAAGUUCUUUUAUUUAGGAAAAAAAGCUUGAUAGGAAAUGAUUAAGCCUUGAUUGUACUAAAUGAAUAAGUGACAGCUAACUAUGUGCCAGCAGCUGCGGUAAAACAUAGGUCACGAGCAUUAUCCGGAUUUAUUGGGCGUAAAGGAAGCGUAGGCGGACAAAUUGAUUUAUUGUUAAAGGCACUUGCUCAACGAGUUGUUUGUGAUAGAUAUCGUUUGUCUAGAAUUAGUUAGGAGAUACUGGAAUUCAAUGUGUAGCGGUGGAAUGCGUAGAUAUAUUGAGGAACACCAGAGGCUAAGGCGAGUAUCUAGGACAUAAUUGACGCUGAGGCUUGAAAGCGUGGGGAGCAAAUGGGAUUAGUUACCCCAGUAGUCCACGCCGUAAACGAUGGGUAUUAGGUAUUUGGUCUAGGACUGAGUGCUGUAGCU